AACGAACGCUGGCGGCAUGCCUAACACAUGCAAGUCGAACGAGACCUUCGGGUCUAGUGGCGCACGUGUGCGUAACGCGUGGUAACCUGCCCUUAGGUUCGGAAUAACUCCCCGAAAGGGGUGCUAAUACCGGAUAAUGUCUUCGGACCAAAGAUUUAUCGCCUUUGGAUGGGCCCGCGUUGGAUUAGCUAGUUGGUAGGGUAAAAGCCUACCAAGGCGACGAUCCAUAGCUGGUCUGAGAGGAUGAUCAGCCACACUGGGACUGAGACACGGCCCAGACUCCUACGGGAGGCAGCAGUGGGGAAUAUUGGACAAUGGGCGAAAGCCUGAUCCAGCAAUGCCGCGUGAGUGAUGAAGGCCUUAGGGUUGUAAAGCUCUUUUACCCGGGAUGAUAAUGACAGUACCGGGAGAAUAAGCUCCGGCUAACUACGUG
This 433-nucleotide ribosomal RNA is filed under the name uncultured bacterium. RNAcentral describes it as "partial 16S ribosomal RNA". It matches the Rfam family "Bacterial small subunit ribosomal RNA", at positions 29 to 507 of the family's 1533-position model. The record is from RNAcentral.